This 761-nucleotide ribosomal RNA is filed under the name Prevotella melaninogenica. Its description in RNAcentral is "bacterial SSU rRNA". It matches the Rfam family "Bacterial small subunit ribosomal RNA", at positions 28 to 776 of the family's 1533-position model. The record is from RNAcentral. Lineage: Bacteria; Pseudomonadati; Bacteroidota; Bacteroidia; Bacteroidales; Prevotellaceae.
GAUGAACGCUAGCUACAGGCUUAACACAUGCAAGUCGAGGGGAAACGGCAUUAAGUGCUUGCACUUUUUGGACGCCGACCGGCGCACGGGUGAGUAACGCGUAUCCAACCUUCCCAUGACUAAGGGAUAACCUGCCGAAAGGCAGACUAAUACCUUAUGGUCUUCACUGACGGCAUCAGAUGUGAAGUAAAGAUUUAUCGGUUAUGGAUGGGGAUGCGUCUGAUUAGUUAGUUGGCGGGGUAACGGCCCACCAAGGCAACGAUCAGUAGGGGUUCUGAGAGGAAGGUCCCCCACAUUGGAACUGAGACACGGUCCAAACUCCUACGGGAGGCAGCAGUGAGGAAUAUUGGUCAAUGGGCGAGAGCCUGAACCAGCCAAGUAGCGUGCAGGAUGACGGCCCUAUGGGUUGUAAACUGCUUUUGUAUGGGGAUAAAGUCAAUCACGUGUGAUUGUUUGCAGGUACCAUACGAAUAAGGACCGGCUAAUUCCGUGCCAGCAGCCGCGGUAAUACGGAAGGUCCGGGCGUUAUCCGGAUUUAUUGGGUUUAAAGGGAGCGUAGGCUGGAGAUUAAGUGUGUUGUGAAAUGUAGACGCUCAACGUCUGACUUGCAGCGCAUACUGGUUUCCUUGAGUACGCACAACGUUGGCGGAAUUCGUCGUGUAGCGGUGAAAUGCUUAGAUAUGACGAAGAACUCCGAUUGCGAAGGCAGCUGACGGGAGCGCAACUGACGCUGAAGCUCGAAGGUGCGGGUAUCGAACAGG